GGGCCUCUACAUGUAAAGCUAUCAUUGUAGGAGGGGGAGUUGCGUCUGAUUAGCUAGUUGGAGGGGGUAACGGCCCACCAAGGCGAUGAUCAGUAGCCGGUCUGAGAGGAUGAACGGCCACAUUGGGACUGAGACACGGCCCAAACUCCUACGGGAGGCAGCAGUGGGGAAUCUUCCGCAAUGGGACGAAAGUCUGACGGAGCAACGCCGCGUGAGUGAUGACGGUCUUCGGAUUGUAAAGCUCUGUUAAUCGGGACGAAUGGUUUGUGUGCAAAUAGUGCAUAGACAUGACGGUACCGGAAUAGAAAGCCACGGCUAACUACGUGCCAGCAGCCGCGGUAAU
RNAcentral lists this ribosomal RNA (343 nucleotides) under uncultured Veillonella sp. Its description in RNAcentral is "bacterial SSU rRNA". It matches the Rfam family "Bacterial small subunit ribosomal RNA", at positions 189 to 524 of the family's 1533-position model. The record is from RNAcentral. Lineage: Bacteria; Bacillati; Bacillota; Negativicutes; Veillonellales; Veillonellaceae.